GCUUUGGUUUCCACCCCCACAAGUUUGCCAGUUGGACCUGCAAACUGCAGCAUCAACACACCUGCUCACCCGACAGUAGCUCACGUUUGGUAACACAAUGGAGUGUGGAGGCCAGUCUGUUUGGACGGGUCCCAUUGGGAGCACGGUGUCUUAUUAAAUGUGUGCAGCGCCUCCACUAUGCAGGUGAGCGACUCCAUUGCUCAGCGGUCACCGUCGCCACCUCGGAUGUGUGAGAUUAAGCCAGCAAAGCGUGUGGACCUUGUUAGUGGGAUUAAACCCACGAGGACUGACAGCCGCCAUUCCACUGAUUACUUCACACCGCAAUGUGGUGAUUAAAGCCGGUACACAAUAA
Nerophis ophidion (straightnose pipefish) is the source of this 352-nucleotide long non-coding RNA. RefSeq lists it as uncharacterized. The transcript is spliced from 2 exons. The record is from RefSeq and is a predicted model, not a curated record. NCBI's taxonomy places the organism in Eukaryota, Metazoa, Chordata, Actinopteri, Syngnathiformes, Syngnathidae.